GAGAACUCGGGAUCGAGAGAGGAUGCGGCCGUGUGAGGCGACCUUCGCCUGCCCGAACGGUUAUGGUGAAUCGUGAGUUCAGCGGGGUGGAAACCAUGGUGAUGCGACCGACCGGGUACCCUCGUCGGGCUACGCCACGAAGAGGUGGCGCGGACAUUGAAUCGUCUACUGACGAUUCGAGUCCCUUCACCCGCGAUUCCGGAACAAAUCGGACAUGAAUGUUAAUAGGUGUGCGUCGGUCGCAGUCUCCCGAUAAUUGCAGGUCAGUUACGGUGCUCUCCUUUACUGUACGCGUCUCCAUAUAAUCUGUAUCGCUGCUCCUUCCGAUUCCCCUCCCUACCUAGCAAAAUCUUCUUGGACAACCAUGAUCGAUGCUUACGGUCCUCGGUCGUCUUCCACUCUUCCCCCUUCUCCCCGUCGGACCUCCUUACCUCCCCUCUUCCCCCAAAUUUUGCACCCCCAAUUAUGUUUUGUUGAUCUUGUUCUUUACAUGUCCAAACUAAUGCAGGUUCUGUAGCUCUGUCCAUUGGAGCUUGCUUGCGACGGGUUUGCUGAAUCGCAAGGUGAAGCACUGCUUACAACUUCGACGACUUUGUGCUGAAUAAUAUGUUUGAACGACUACAUCUUCUAAUUGCUCAAGUGCCAAUGCUCUGGGCCUGUAUUGUUUCACAAAAGCACAAAUCUGCUAUGAGGGGAUCUACCUUCUGCUAAUAUUGCUCCUAACGCUCUGGCCCUGUAUUCAGUUUGGGGUAUGAAGUCCUUGUUGCCAUCUUCAUUUUUGUCACAGGAGGAUGCGAACGAUUUGUUACAAUUUGUAACCUUCUCACAUGGAAGAGCUACUCGCUACCAUUUGUAACCUUCUUUUUUGGUUGAUUACUGUGCUAUAAGGCUGUUGUAUUCCUGUUCAGGCUGUUACUGCAGAAUUUUCUGCUACCUAUGAUGUAAGACUGAAUGGCCGUUUUUAAUAAGUUUUCUCAAAGUUGAAUCUAUUCCCUCGGAUGAAGCACCUUGAUGCGCCCGCUACGGGUGAUAGAAUGUAUUGUCUCUUUAUGUAUAAACCUUCACGAUAUAAGAGGACAUCACACAUGUUGUGAUGAACAGAAAGACAAUGCCCUGGUUUUUCUAUUUCAUGAUUAUUGUUUGCCUUCCCUAGGUAUAAAAUAUUUGCUUCUUCAGGCUAGAGCUAAAUUUAAAUAAGCUCAUCUUGGCAAUUGCCUACCUUAUUUCUGUCAUACUUUGUCCAAAUUUAAAUGUUCCCUUGAGUUAUUAAAAGGCUUGCAUUGACAACUCCAAAAAAUUGUUUUUAGCAGAAAAGUAAGUUUUUUUUUUCUUCUUUCCCAUAGACAUUCCAUAUGG
This 1356-nucleotide long non-coding RNA is filed under the name Triticum aestivum (bread wheat). RNAcentral's name for it is "long non-coding RNA (TAES_LNC016305)". The record is from RNAcentral. Lineage: Eukaryota; Viridiplantae; Streptophyta; Magnoliopsida; Poales; Poaceae.